GGCGACCGCGUUGCAGCAGCGGCGGGUAGGCGGGGGGGGGCGGGCGGGUUUGGAAUGAUUGGGCGUAAAGGGGGGGUAGGGGGCCGACCGAGUCGGAGGUGAAAGCCCUCGGCUCAACUGAGGAACUGCCUCCGAUACUGUUCGGCUUGAGUCCCGGAGAGGGUAGUGGAAUUCCCGGUGUAGCGGUGAAAUGCGUAGAGACCGGGAAGAACACCAGUGGCGAAGGCGGCUACCUGGACGGGUACUGACGCUGAAGCGCGAAAGCUAGGGGAGCAAACAGGAUUAGAUACCCUGGUAGUC
RNAcentral lists this ribosomal RNA (300 nucleotides) under uncultured Slackia sp. RNAcentral describes it as "partial 16S ribosomal RNA". It matches the Rfam family "Bacterial small subunit ribosomal RNA", at positions 496 to 795 of the family's 1533-position model. Lineage: Bacteria; Bacillati; Actinomycetota; Coriobacteriia; Eggerthellales; Eggerthellaceae. The record is from RNAcentral.